AGUGAACGCUGGCGGCAGGCCUAACACAUGCAAGUCGAGCGGCAGCGGGUCCUUCGGGAUGCCGGCGAGCGGCGGACGGGUGAGGAAUACAUCGGAAUCUGCCCUGUCGUGGGGGAUAACCUAGGGAAACUUAGGCUAAUACCGCAUACGACCUACGGGUGAAAGCGGGGGAUCGCAAGACCUCGCGCGACAGGAUGAGCCGAUGUCCGAUUAGCUAGUUGGCGGGGUAAAGGCCCACCAAGGCGACGAUCGGUAGCUGGUCUGAGAGGAUGAUCAGCCACACUGGGACUGAGACACGGCCCAGACUCCUACGGGAGGCAGCAGUGGGGAAUAUUGGACAAUGGGCGCAAGCCUGAUCCAGCCAUGCCGCGUGUGUGAAGAAGGCCUUCGGGUUGUAAAGCCCUUUUGUCCGGGAAGAAAUCGUCUGGGCUAAUACCCCGGGCGGAUGACGGUACCGGAAGAAUAAGCACCGGCUAACUUCGUG
RNAcentral lists this ribosomal RNA (484 nucleotides) under uncultured bacterium. RNAcentral describes it as "partial 16S ribosomal RNA". It matches the Rfam family "Bacterial small subunit ribosomal RNA", at positions 30 to 507 of the family's 1533-position model. The record is from RNAcentral.